UCGGUCCCUAUCCGUCGCGGGCGCAGGAAAUUUGAAGGGAGCUGUUCCUAGUACGAGAGGACCGGAAUUGACGCACCUCUGGUGUUCCAGUUGUUCUGUCAAGAGCAUCGCUGGGCAGCUAUGUGCGGAAGAGAUAAGCGCUGAAAGCAUCUAAGUGCCAAGCUCAUCCCAAGAUAAUGUUUCCCGGGGCAUAAGCCCCCUAAAGACCACGGGCAGACUACCCGUUUGAUAGGUUGGGAGUGUAAGCGUCGCGAGACGUUCAGCUGACCAAUACUAAUCGGUCGUGCGGCUUGAUUG
Molecule: ribosomal RNA, 297 nt
Filed under: Limisphaerales bacterium
Lineage: Bacteria; Pseudomonadati; Verrucomicrobiota; Verrucomicrobiia; Limisphaerales
Description: partial 23S ribosomal RNA
Rfam family: Bacterial large subunit ribosomal RNA
Source: RNAcentral